This is a long non-coding RNA of Dermochelys coriacea (leatherback sea turtle), 161 nucleotides long. RefSeq lists it as uncharacterized. The transcript is spliced from 3 exons. The record is from RefSeq and is a predicted model, not a curated record. Lineage: Eukaryota; Metazoa; Chordata; Testudines; Dermochelyidae.
CCUUGCACAGGAGUGAAUUCUACCCUGAAAGAAGAGAUGCGGCUCGAUUCAUCGCAGCAUCUAUGCCAGCAGCUGCCAAUGUGGAAACACCUGGUGGUGGGAAGAGACUUGAACUCACCUGGCUGGAGGGCACAGCAUGAGAAGAGAUGUCCACUAUCCCA